UUGUUUGUGAGAUCAUUCGCAAGGCAGUGGGCCUACCUAGACUGCAGCUCUGAAAUUUUAACAAGUAAUGACCGUUCUUUCUCAGUAUUAGAUGUUUCAACCUGCCAAACAAUAGAAAGGAUUCAGUGAUGACAAACAAUCUUCUUGAGGAACCGCUAUCAUUCAGUAAGGAUAGGCCUUAACAAUACAAGAAAUCAUACACCAUCGCUGCUUACCACUGUCCCACUUUGCA
Molecule: long non-coding RNA, 232 nt
Filed under: Hordeum vulgare
Lineage: Eukaryota; Viridiplantae; Streptophyta; Magnoliopsida; Poales; Poaceae
Description: long non-coding RNA (HVUL_LNC001429)
Source: RNAcentral